UGAGGCUGCAGAGGACAGAUGUGCUCAUUACCCAGCCAAUUUAUAGCAUCACAGCAGACUAUCACAUGUCUAUAUUGGUGUUCCUUACAUUGCCUAGCAUAUAUGGAUUAUUAUUCUUAUAAAGGUUUCCAAGCAUAAAGGAAAAUGUGAAGUAUUUUUAGCUCCUUGUUACUUAUGCAAAUUUCUGCAGCUGGCUUGAAUUCCUCCCCAGAAAAUGGGUUUUCCUUUUUUAUCACAUGAUCAGGCUGCAAAUUUUCCAAACCUUUAUUCUCUGCUUCCCUUUUAGACAUAAGUUCCCAUUUCAAACCAUCUCUUUGUGAACACAUAUAACUGAACGCUUUCAGAAUAAGCCAGGUCACAUCUUGAAUGUUUUGCUGCUUAGAAAUUUCUUCCACAAGAUACCCUAAAUCAUCUCUCUCAAGUUCAAAAUUCCACAUAUCUUUAGGGCAGGGGCAAAAUGCUGCCAGUCUCUUUGCUAAAGCAUAGGAAGAGUGACCUUUGCUCUACUUCCUAAUAUGUUCCUCAUC
Molecule: long non-coding RNA, 527 nt
Filed under: Homo sapiens (human)
Lineage: Eukaryota; Metazoa; Chordata; Mammalia; Primates; Hominidae
Description: non-protein coding lnc-GSDME-9:1
Source: RNAcentral